This 326-nucleotide ribosomal RNA is filed under the name uncultured Lachnospiraceae bacterium. Its description in RNAcentral is "bacterial SSU rRNA". It matches the Rfam family "Bacterial small subunit ribosomal RNA", at positions 28 to 339 of the family's 1533-position model. Lineage: Bacteria; Bacillati; Bacillota; Clostridia; Lachnospirales; Lachnospiraceae. The record is from RNAcentral.
GAUGAGCGCUGGCGGCGUGCCUAACACAUGCAAGUCGAACGGGACUACUGGAAGAUCUUUUCGGAGUGAUUCCUUUAGUUUAGUGGCGGACGGGUGAGUAACGCGUGGGGAACCUGCCCCAUUCCGGGGGAUACCAGUUGGAAACGACUGUUAAUACCGCAUAAGCGCACGGUACCGCAUGGUACAGUGUGAAAAACUCCGGUGGAAUGGGAUGGCCCCGCGUCUGAUUAGGCAGUUGGCGGGGUAACGGCCCACCAAACCGACGAUCAGUAGCCGACCUGAGAGGGUGACCGGCCACAUUGGGACUGAGACACGGCCCAAACUCC